Molecule: ribosomal RNA, 497 nt
Filed under: uncultured bacterium
Lineage: Bacteria
Description: partial 16S ribosomal RNA
Rfam family: Bacterial small subunit ribosomal RNA
Source: RNAcentral
GAUGAACGCUGGCGGCGUGCCUAAUACAUGCAAGUCGAGCGAACGGACGAGAAGCUUGCUUCUCUGAUGUUAGCGGCGGACGGGUGAGUAACACGUGGAUAACCUACCUAUAAGACUGGGAUAACUUCGGGAAACCGGAGCUAAUACCGGAUGAUAUUUUGAACCGCAUGGUUCAAAAGUGAAAGACGGUCUUGCUGUCACUUAUAGAUGGAUCCGCGCUGCAUUAGCUAGUUGGUAAGGCAACGGCUUACCAAGGCAACGAUGCAUAGCCGACCUGAGAGGGUGAUCGGCCACACUGGAACUGAGACACGGUCCAGACUCCUACGGGAGGCAGCAGUAGGGAAUCUUCCGCAAUAGGCGAAAGCCUGACGGAGCAACGCCGCGUGAGUGAUGAAGGUCUUCGGAUCGUAAAACUCUGUUAUUAGGGAAGAACAUAUGUGUAAGUAACUGUGCACAUCUUGACGGUACCUAAUCAGAAAGCCACGGCUAACUACGUG